UGGAUCGGUGACAGCCACUGGUGGCGUCUGAGUCGCGUACGAUGAGUACGUGUCUGGAACUCUGAGGCCCGA
Small nucleolar RNA from Mustela putorius furo (domestic ferret), 72 nucleotides. The record is from Ensembl. Lineage: Eukaryota; Metazoa; Chordata; Mammalia; Carnivora; Mustelidae.